This 492-nucleotide ribosomal RNA is filed under the name uncultured bacterium. RNAcentral's name for it is "partial 16S ribosomal RNA". It matches the Rfam family "Bacterial small subunit ribosomal RNA", at positions 29 to 507 of the family's 1533-position model. The record is from RNAcentral.
AGUGAACGCUGGCGGUAGGCCUAACACAUGCAAGUCGAACGGCAGCACAGUAAGAGCUUGCUCUUACGGGUGGCGAGUGGCGGACGGGUGAGGAAUACAUCGGAAUCUACUUUUUCGUGGGGGAUAACGUAGGGAAACUUACGCUAAUACCGCAUACGACCUACGGGUGAAAGCAGGGGAUCUUCGGACCUUUCGCGAUUGAAUGAGCCGAGGUCGGAUUAGCUAGUUGGCGGGGUAAAGGCCCACCAAGGCGACGAUCCGUAGCUGGUCUGAGAGGAUGAUCAGCCACACUGGAACUGAGACACGGUCCAGACUCCUACGGGAGGCAGCAGUGGGGAAUAUUGGACAAUGGGCGAAAGCCUGAUCCAGCCAUGCCGCGUGGGUGAAGAAGGCCUUCGGGUUGUAAAGCCCUUUUGUUGGGAAAGAAAAGCAGCAGGUUAAUACCCCGCUGUUCUGACGGUACCCAAAGAAUAAGCACCGGCUAACUUCGUG